AACGUACUCAACGGAUUCAACCUGCUGUGAACAGGAGAACAGGACCUACAUACACCCCAAAGGCUCUUUUCAGAGCCAUUUGACCAAGCAUCUUUGUACAUGCCGGUUUUCCUUCAGUAGUGCCAGUUUUCCUAAGAUUUUACCUCGUCCUCCACUGCCUCCAGUAAUUCCUGGUUUUAAGGUGGAGUAAUGGAGUAAAGAUGCAACGGAGCAGCUGAUAAGAAAACAUGCUUAAGACCAUCUUAAACGUGCACCAUCAAGAAAGGGAGGGGUACACAAUAAACAUUUUUUUUUAACAUUACUUUUUGAAUAGAUGCACUUUUUAAAUUUUUUUUAAAGUAUAUAUAUUGUUAUUUAUGUUGUUUUUAAAUGUUAUAAUUGUAUUGUUUUUAUUUGUUGUAUUUAGCUUUUAUGCAUUUGUACACACACAAACACACAACCACAUUUAUACAAAAUAAGUUUUGAAUAAAUACGUUUAAUGGAGUGCAAAGUGUGAGUCUUUAUUUAGCUAAAUGAUGUCUAAAAUGAGUCUGCAGUUGACGUUAUAAGACGUUGAAAAUAUGUCCACAAUGACCACAUUUCAACUAAAUUUGGACCUUAAAAAGACGUCCUAUGGAUGUCAUUAUUGGACGUCCAAAAGACGUCAGAAAAAGACGUCGGAAAACCUUUCAUUCUGCACCCUGAUGGGGACGUCUUUUCAACGUCUUUAUUGGACGUCCAAAAGACGUCAGAAAAAGACGUCGGAAAACCUUUCAUUCUGCACCCUGAUGGGGACGUCUUUUCAACGUCCGACAAAGAUGUUGAAAAGACGUCUUUUGGACAUACUUUUGCUCAG
Long non-coding RNA from Paramisgurnus dabryanus, 835 nucleotides. RefSeq lists it as uncharacterized. The record is from RefSeq and is a predicted model, not a curated record. NCBI's taxonomy places the organism in Eukaryota, Metazoa, Chordata, Actinopteri, Cypriniformes, Cobitidae.